GGGGUUGUGGCUCAAUGGUAGAGUGCUUGCCUAGCAUGCAUGAGGCAUGGGGUUCUAUCCCCAGCACCA
Molecule: transfer RNA, 69 nt
Filed under: Ictidomys tridecemlineatus (thirteen-lined ground squirrel)
Lineage: Eukaryota; Metazoa; Chordata; Mammalia; Rodentia; Sciuridae
Description: Spermophilus tridecemlineatus (thirteen-lined ground squirrel) tRNA
Rfam family: tRNA
About the family: Transfer RNA (tRNA) molecules are approximately 80 nucleotides in length. Their secondary structure includes four short double-helical elements and three loops (D, anti-codon, and T loops).
Source: Rfam by way of RNAcentral